UGGUGGAGUGAUUUGUCUGGUUAAUUCCGUUAACGAACGAGACCUCGACCUGCUAAAUAGUUCGAUCAAUUCAAUCGGAUUGAUACGUUUGACUUCUUAGAGGGACUAUCGGUGGUUCAGCCGAUGGAAGUUCGAGGCAAUAACA
This 145-nucleotide ribosomal RNA is filed under the name uncultured eukaryote. Its description in RNAcentral is "partial 18S ribosomal RNA". It matches the Rfam family "Eukaryotic small subunit ribosomal RNA", at positions 1299 to 1458 of the family's 1831-position model. The record is from RNAcentral.